This 113-nucleotide ribosomal RNA is filed under the name Salvator merianae (Argentine black and white tegu). The record is from RNAcentral. Lineage: Eukaryota; Metazoa; Chordata; Lepidosauria; Squamata; Teiidae.
CACAGCAUUUAUGCUCCCCCUCACUUUACCUGUCGGAUCUUAGAAGCUAAGCAGGGGCAGGACUGAUUAAUACUUGGAUGAGAGACUAUCUGGAAAAGCAGGAGNUGGUAUAG